RNAcentral lists this long non-coding RNA (199 nucleotides) under Lathyrus oleraceus (garden pea). RNAcentral's name for it is "Pisum sativum (pea) long non-coding RNA (PSAT_LNC030943)". The record is from RNAcentral. Lineage: Eukaryota; Viridiplantae; Streptophyta; Magnoliopsida; Fabales; Fabaceae.
AGAACAAAAAAUAAAAAUAUAGAGAUGAAGUAGAGACGAGAAAGGAGAAAGAUUUAGAUUUAAUGUGGAAACCUGAAAUGCAAAAUAUGAGGUGUGAAGAUCACUAUCAUAGAAGAAAAUAAUAUGAGCUAAAAUGGAGAAAAAAAUAAAAACAGAGUAGAAAUGACUGAUUCUUUCUAAGUAACUGUUGGGGAAGUCU